UUAUUUUCCAGGUAGGAGGAAGCACAUCAACACCUCAGGUCGGGCAAGCACUAGCUUCUUCUUCUUCUUCCAUUCCUCCACCAAUGGUGGUGACCCUACCUCUUAAUUCAAUCCAACAACCGGAUAUAUGCUUCACUUUGUAGAGGAUGACAAUACCUUUUCUUCCCCCUUGCCAGAGACUACCAAUCAUCCAACAUCAGUCAUUAAUGAGCCUAUAGUUCCUGAGAUACCAGUUGUCAUAAAGGCGACUAGUCUCAUGGCUUCACAUGCUCCCACUCAAGCAAGCUAACCAACUUCCUCUAAGACAGCUACAACAACACAUCAUCCUCCUAAAGCACAAGGCCCUUCUCAGGCCUCUAGUAAGGGCUCGGGUAGGUCUUCUCAGCCUGCUCUGAGUAGAGUAGUUUCCCCCAACCUCUUCGAGCUACUGAAGUCUCAGGGAUUCCAAUCCCUCAACCUAAAAAGGGUGUUGUUGCUAAAUCUUUUCCUUCCAUUCUUGUUGAGGUUGCCACUGCUGCUGCUUCUGGUGGUGCUGACAUGAUGUCUUCUUCUUUGGCUUCUCUUCCAGCCACAUCAUUUUUGCCCGAAUUAGUUAAAAAGUUCCAGCAAAUUAAGACAAAUCUGAGAUCCCCAAGGGGCCAUUCUGAGCCUCAUCAUCUUCAAGAUUGGCGCAUGGUCUUCAGAGAAUAAAUGCAGAUGGACUUUUCUGCUUCCUUUAGCCUUAAGGGUCAUCAAGAUGCUAAAAGAGCUCUCAUUGAAUUAUACUAAGCCCAUCAGAUGACUAAGAUGCAAUAUGAGUCAUUCAUCUCCUUUUUUGAAAAUCUAAGGGCUUUAAUGGAUCAGCAUCUUAAGGUAGAGAGGCAAGAUAACAUGGUGAGGUGAUACAAGGAGAAGCACACUGGAACUUCUAUUACUCUACAACAGCUGGUGAAAGAAUGCUCACCUACAGAGGAUCUGAUAAUGGUGGUAGCUGCUAAGAUCCAGAAGCUGAAGGAAUAACUCUCUGCUCUAAAGGCUGAGCAUAUGACUUCCUCGAGCAUGCUAUACAAAAAGAUCGAGGAUGUGAAGAGAGUAAACCAUGAAGUGGAUGAGUUUGAAGUUCAUCUAGCCAACAUCAAAAUAGCUUUAGAAGAGCCAGGUUGCAUUUUCACCAUCAUGCAGACUUAUCAUUCUAGGAUAGCUGCCUUGGCUAAAGAUGUAAACUUGUUAUUCUAGAGCCUCUGUACUUCCCCAAUUUUUGAGUGAAAAUAUCUCUC
Molecule: non-coding RNA, 1256 nt
Organism: Malus domestica (apple)
Lineage: Eukaryota; Viridiplantae; Streptophyta; Magnoliopsida; Rosales; Rosaceae
Source: RefSeq, a predicted model, not a curated record